This is a long non-coding RNA of Candoia aspera, 298 nucleotides long. RefSeq lists it as uncharacterized. The transcript is spliced from 2 exons. NCBI's taxonomy places the organism in Eukaryota, Metazoa, Chordata, Lepidosauria, Squamata, Candoiidae. The record is from RefSeq and is a predicted model, not a curated record.
CCCCUCUCCUCCCUCGAGAGACCGCCCACGCCGACGCCGUUCUGCCCUUGCUAAUUGGCCAGCCUUCACACGUGAACAAGCGUCGAUUAGAUCUUGCGCGGAACUUCGUCUCUUCUCUUAGUCGUCAUUGAGCUGAAGAAGCAGAUGUUGGUGCCAUCUGGCUGAGUGAGAACAUUCAUGCUGUCGCGGUCUAAGAAGUAGAUUUCUGUACUUCCAUAGAGGUCUUUUAAGUGCUUCUGGAAGCAGGAUCUGUACAAAAAUGCAUACAAUGCUAAUAUAAUUGCCAUCUUAUAUGUCA